CACGUAGGGCGCAAGCGUUUGUCCGGAAUUAUUGGGCGUAAAGGGCUCGUAGGUGGUUUGUCGCGUUGUUCGUGAAAACUCACAGCUCAACUGUGGGCGUGCGGGCGAUACGGGCAGACUAGAGUACUGCAGGGGAGACUGGAAUUCCUGGUGUAGCGGUGGAAUGCGCAGAUAUCAGGAGGAACACCGGUGGCGAAGGCGGGUCUCUGGGCAGUAACUGACGCUGAGGAGCGAAAGCGUGGGGAGCGAACAGG
RNAcentral lists this ribosomal RNA (254 nucleotides) under uncultured bacterium. RNAcentral describes it as "partial 16S ribosomal RNA". It matches the Rfam family "Bacterial small subunit ribosomal RNA", at positions 524 to 776 of the family's 1533-position model. The record is from RNAcentral.